GCGGGAGUCGGGCGGACGAGGUAGUCGCCAACCUGGUCAGGUCCGGAAGGAAGCAGCCACAACGAUAUCGCCUCGGGUCGUUCGGCUCCCACCGG
Molecule: signal recognition particle RNA, 95 nt
Filed under: Pseudomonadota bacterium
Lineage: Bacteria; Pseudomonadati; Pseudomonadota
Description: signal recognition particle sRNA small type
Rfam family: Bacterial small signal recognition particle RNA
About the family: The signal recognition particle (SRP) is a universally conserved ribonucleoprotein involved in the co-translational targeting of proteins to membranes. Archaeal SRP consists of a 7S RNA and homologues of the eukaryotic SRP19 and SRP54 proteins. In most bacteria, the SRP consists of a 4.5S RNA and the Ffh protein (a homologue of the eukaryotic SRP54 protein).
Source: RNAcentral